Molecule: regulatory RNA element, 109 nt
Rfam family: Ribosomal S15 leader
About the family: The E. coli Ribosomal S15 gene 5' UTR can form two alternative structures. One that is a series of three hairpins, The other includes a pseudoknot.
Source: Rfam
UUAGAACACGGAACUUGAGGUUCCGGCCUAUUACUCUCAGAGGAAGCCCAUCAUGGCACUGAGCGUUACUGAAAAAGCCCAGAUCGUUAACGAGUACAAGCAAGCUGAA